GUGGGGAAUAUUGCACAAUGGGCGAAAGCCUGAUGCAGCGACGCCGCGUGAGGGAUGACGGCCUUCGGGUUGUAAACCUCUUUCAGCAGGGACGAAGCGCAAGUGACGGUACCUGCAGAAGAAGCACCGGCUAACUACGUGCCAGCAGCCGCGGUAAUACGUAGGGUGCAAGCGUUGUCCGGAAUUACUGGGCGUAAAGAGUUCGUAGGCGGUUUGUCGCGUCGUUUGUGAAAACCAGCAGCUCAACUGCUGGCUUGCAGGCGAUACGGGCAGACUUGAGUACUGCAGGGGAGACUGGAAUUCCUGGUGUAGCGGUGAAAUGCGCAGAUAUCAGGAGGAACACCGGUGGCGAAGGCGGGUCUCUGGGCAGUAACUGACGCUGAGGAACGAAAGCGUGGGUAGCGAACAGGAUUAGAUACCCGGGUAGUCC
Molecule: ribosomal RNA, 430 nt
Filed under: uncultured bacterium
Lineage: Bacteria
Description: partial 16S ribosomal RNA
Rfam family: Bacterial small subunit ribosomal RNA
Source: RNAcentral